RNAcentral lists this ribosomal RNA (500 nucleotides) under uncultured Desulfobulbus sp. RNAcentral's name for it is "bacterial SSU rRNA". It matches the Rfam family "Bacterial small subunit ribosomal RNA", at positions 887 to 1382 of the family's 1533-position model. Lineage: Bacteria; Pseudomonadati; Thermodesulfobacteriota; Desulfobulbia; Desulfobulbales; Desulfobulbaceae. The record is from RNAcentral.
GCCCGCUCAGAAACUUAAAUGAAGUGACGGGGCCCGCACAAGCGGUGGAGUAUGUGGUUUAAUUCGAUGCAACGCGAAGAACCUUACCUGGUCUUGACAUCCCGGAGACCCUUAGGAAACUAGGGGGUGCUUCCAUCUGGAAGAAUCUGGAGACAGGUGCUGCAUGGCUGUCGUCAGCUCGUGUCGUGAGAUGUUGGGUUAAGUCCCGCAACGAGCGCAACCCUUGCCUUUAGUUGCCAGCAGUUCGGCUGGGCACUCUAAAGGGACUGCCGGUGUUAAACCGGAGGAAGGUGGGGAUGACGUCAAGUCCUCAUGGCCUUUAUGACCAGGGCUACACACGUACUACAAUGGCCGAUACAAAGGGCAGCGACACUGCGAGGUGAAGCCAAUCCCGUAAAAUCGGUCUCAGUCCGGAUUGGAGUCUGCAACUCGACUCCAUGAAGUUGGAAUCGCUAGUAAUCGUGGAUCAGCAUGCCACGGUGAAUACGUUCCCGGGCCUU